RNAcentral lists this ribosomal RNA (353 nucleotides) under Dysidea sp. DE-2012. RNAcentral describes it as "eukaryotic LSU rRNA". The stretch from base 221 to 353 matches the Rfam family "Eukaryotic large subunit ribosomal RNA", at positions 1 to 133 of the family's 3401-position model. The record is from RNAcentral. Lineage: Eukaryota; Metazoa; Porifera; Demospongiae; Dictyoceratida; Dysideidae.
UCUGUCCGAGCGUCUGCCAACCACUAGUCCUCGCCGCGUGCGGGGAGAUUGGGGAACUGCAGCAUGGCCGGUGGCGAUGCUGCACUCCCUGAAGAAUCGACGACCGGUGUGGUCGCCCGCCGUACAAGUCGGUCGGUGACAACGGUGCACAGUGUUGUCACGCCGUGCUUGUGUCGGGCGGGAGGCAGUGCAGGUCGCGUGCAAUCAGGUAUGCCAAUCUAGACCUCGGAUCAGGCCAGGCUACCCGCUGAAUUUAAGCAUAUCAAUAAGCGGAGGAAAAGAAACUAACAAGGAUUCCCUUAGUAACGGCGAGCGAAGCGGGAAUAGCUCAAAUUUGAAAUCUCCAGUGCUUG